GACGAACGCUGGCGGCGUGCCUAACACAUGCAAGUCGAACGGGGUGAUUUCCUUCGGGGAUUCACUUAGUGGCGAACGGGUGAGUAACGCGUGAGAAACCUGCCUCUCAGUGGGGGACAACAGUUGGAAACGACUGCUAAUACCGCAUAACGUUAUCGGAGGGCAUCCUCUGAUAACCAAAGCUUUAUGUGCUGAGAGAUGGUCUCGCGUCUGAUUAGCUAGUUGGUGGGGUAGAGGCCUACCAAGGCGACGAUCAGUAACCGGCCUGAGAGGGUGACCGGCCACAUUGGGACUGAGACACGGCCCAAACUCCUACGGGAGGCAGCAGUGGGGAAUAUUGCACAAUGGGGGAAACCCUGAUGCAGCGACGCCGCGUGAGUGAAGAAGUAUUUCGGUAUGUAAAGCUCUAUCAGCAGGGAAGAAAAUGACGGUACCUGACUAAGAAGCCCCGGCUAACUACGUG
RNAcentral lists this ribosomal RNA (463 nucleotides) under uncultured bacterium. RNAcentral describes it as "bacterial SSU rRNA". It matches the Rfam family "Bacterial small subunit ribosomal RNA", at positions 28 to 507 of the family's 1533-position model. The record is from RNAcentral.